CUUCUAGAAAAAUGACCAAUGGUGUCCUUGUCCAUGUUCGGCCGAAUGGGAGGUGAAUGGGCAGCUUCAUGUAUGAGCAAGCUUUGGAAGCCAAUGGGAUUGUCUAGGUUCGGCCAUGGGAUGCAUGAAACUCCCAAAGGGUGUCUCUUGGCCGAAUAGGUGCUUAGGAAACUCUAAGGGUCCUCCCACAUGCAUCGGUUGUACAUGGAACUUGGAAGGGGCCUUGAACCUAGCCGUACAUGCACUUGCAUUGAUUACCCCCAUUCAUGCAUGUGUGCCGUCCAAGGGAGAUGCACCUUUCAAUAUGCAUUAACCUUCCAUGUACAUGAAUGUAUG
RNAcentral lists this long non-coding RNA (336 nucleotides) under Gossypium barbadense (sea-island cotton). RNAcentral's name for it is "long non-coding RNA (GBAR_LNC008048)". Lineage: Eukaryota; Viridiplantae; Streptophyta; Magnoliopsida; Malvales; Malvaceae. The record is from RNAcentral.